GUUAUAGGGUCAAGCGAACAAGUGCAUGUGGUGGAUGCCUUGGCGAUCACAGGCGAUGAAGGACGCGGUAGCCUGCGAAAAGCUACGGGGAGCUGGCAAACGAGCUUUGAUCCGUAGAUGUCCGAAUGGGGAAACCCACUCCUUUUGGAGUAUCCAUGGCUGAAUACAUAGGCCAUGCGAAGCGAACGCGGUGAACUGAAACAUCUAAGUAACCGCAGGAAAAGAAAUCAACCGAGAUUCCCAAAGUAGUGGCGAGCGAAAUGGGAUGAGCCUUGCACUCUUUAUUUGUAUUGUUAGCCGAACGCUCUGGAAAGUGCGGCCAUAGCAGGUGAUAGCCCUGUAGGCGAAAACAGUAUGAAAGAACUAGGUGUGCGACAAGUAGGGCGGGACACGUGAAAUCCUGUCUGAAGAUGGGGGGACCAUCCUCCAAGGCUAAAUACUCGUGAUCGACCGAUAGUGAACCAGUACCGUGAGGGAAAGGCGAAAAGAACCCCGGGAGGGGAGUGAAAUAGAUCCUGAAACCGCAUGCAUACAAACAGUCGGAGCCUCGCAAGGGGUGACGGCGUACCUUUUGUAUAAUGGGUCAGCGACUUACGUUCAGUAGCAAGCUUAACCGUAUAGGGCAGGCGUAGCGAAAGCGAGUCCGAAUAGGGCGUUCAGUUGCUGGGCGUAGACCCGAAACCAGGUGAUCUAUCCAUGGCCAGGAUGAAGGUGCGGUAACACGUACUGGAGGUCCGAACCCACUAACGUUGAAAAGUUAGGGGAUGAGCUGUGGAUAGGGGUGAAAGGCUAAACAAACCUGGAAAUAGCUGGUUCUCUCCGAAAACUAUUUAGGUAGUGCCUCGUGUCUCACCUUCGGGGGUAGAGCACUGUCAUGGUUGGGGGGUCUAUUGCAGAUUACCCCGCCAUAGCAAACUCCGAAUACCGAAGAGUGCAAUCACGGGAGACAGACAUCGGGUGCUAACGUCCGGUGUCAAGAGGGAAACAACCCAGACCGCCAGCUAAGGUCCCCAAAUAUAGCUAAGUGGGAAACGAAGUGGGAAGGCUAAAACAGUCAGGAGGUUGGCUUAGAAGCAGCCACCCUUUAAAGAAAGCGUAAUAGCUCACUGAUCGAGUCGUCCUGCGCGGAAGAUGUAACGGGGCUAAGCUAUAUACCGAAGCUGCGGAUGCG
RNAcentral lists this ribosomal RNA (1171 nucleotides) under Burkholderia cenocepacia. RNAcentral describes it as "bacterial LSU rRNA". It matches the Rfam family "Bacterial large subunit ribosomal RNA", at positions 1 to 1210 of the family's 2925-position model. The record is from RNAcentral. Lineage: Bacteria; Pseudomonadati; Pseudomonadota; Betaproteobacteria; Burkholderiales; Burkholderiaceae.